Molecule: ribosomal RNA, 771 nt
Filed under: Escherichia coli
Lineage: Bacteria; Pseudomonadati; Pseudomonadota; Gammaproteobacteria; Enterobacterales; Enterobacteriaceae
Description: partial 23S ribosomal RNA
Rfam family: Bacterial large subunit ribosomal RNA
Source: RNAcentral
CAGUCUGCAUGGAGCCGACCUUGAAAUACCACCCUUUAAUGUUUGAUGUUCUAACGUUGACCCGUAAUCCGGGUUGCGGACAGUGUCUGGUGGGUAGUUUGACUGGGGCGGUCUCCUCCUAAAGAGUAACGGAGGAGCACGAAGGUUGGCUAAUCCUGGUCGGACAUCAGGAGGUUAGUGCAAUGGCAUAAGCCAGCUUGACUGCGAGCGUGACGGCGCGAGCAGGUGCGAAAGCAGGUCAUAGUGAUCCGGUGGUUCUGAAUGGAAGGGCCAUCGCUCAACGGAUAAAAGGUACUCCGGGGAUAACAGGCUGAUACCGCCCAAGAGUUCAUAUCGACGGCGGUGUUUGGCACCUCGAUGUCGGCUCAUCACAUCCUGGGGCUGAAGUAGGUCCCAAGGGUAUGGCUGUUCGCCAUUUAAAGUGGUACGCGAGCUGGGUUUAGAACGUCGUGAGACAGUUCGGUCCCUAUCUGCCGUGGGCGCUGGAGAACUGAGGGGGGCUGCUCCUAGUACGAGAGGACCGGAGUGGACGCAUCACUGGUGUUCGGGUUGUCAUGCCAAUGGCACUGCCCGGUAGCUAAAUGCGGAAGAGAUAAGUGCUGAAAGCAUCUAAGCACGAAACUUGCCCCGAGAUGAGUUCUCCCUGACUCCUUGAGAGUCCUGAAGGAACGUUGAAGACGACGACGUUGAUAGGCCGGGUGUGUAAGCGCAGCGAUGCGUUGAGCUAACCGGUACUAAUGAACCGUGAGGCUUAACCUUACAACGCCGAAG